Molecule: ribosomal RNA, 465 nt
Filed under: Vreelandella stevensii
Lineage: Bacteria; Pseudomonadati; Pseudomonadota; Gammaproteobacteria; Oceanospirillales; Halomonadaceae
Description: partial 16S ribosomal RNA
Rfam family: Bacterial small subunit ribosomal RNA
Source: RNAcentral
CCUACGGGUGGCUGCAGUGGGGAAUAUUGGACAAUGGGGGCAACCCUGAUCCAGCAAUGCCGCGUGUGUGAAGAAGGCCUUCGGGUUGUAAAGCACUUUCAGUGAGAAAGAACGGCUGGUGGUUAAUACCCAUCAGGCAUGACAUCACCCACAGAAGAAGCACCGGCUAACUCCGUGCCAGCAGCCGCGGUAAUACGGAGGGUGCGAGCGUUAAUCGGAAUUACUGGGCGUAAAGCGCGCGUAGGUGGCCUAAUAAGCCGGUUGUGAAAGCCCCGGGCUUAACCUGGGAACUGCAUCCGGUACUGGUUACCUAGAGUGCAGAAGAGGAAAGUAGAAUUCCCGGUGUAGCGGUGAAAUGCGUAGAGAUCUGGAGGAAUACCAGUGGCGAAGGCGGCCUCCUGGUCUGACACUGACGCUGAGGUGCGAAAGCGUGGGGAGCAAACAGGAUUAGAUACCCUAGUAGUC